UGAGGCCAUAGCCAAAUUCUUUUUUUAUUGGCAAGAGAUUCCAUUCCAGUAUGUUUUGAGUCUCAAAUCAGAUAUUUGUGACACAACGCUAUCCCUCUAAUUAAGUAGAAACAUUGGGCCUUUGUCAUCUGUGGUCCGGCCUAGUCUAAGAAACCUUGGGGUGACAUUUGACAAAUCCCUAUCUUUUGAAACUCGCAUCAAAUUACUGUCCAGAUAAUGUUUUUUUCCACGUACGCACACAUUAACAAAUGAAGGGCUGUGGUCUCAGUCAGAACUGGAUAUGCUCAUCCAUGUCUUCAUUUCCUCCCGUAUUGACUAUUGCAAUUCACUCUUCUCCUCACUCAACAAAUCUGUCCUUCACCACCUGCACCUGCUGUUGCUAGGCUAGUUCCUAGAUCAAACAGGUGCACCCAUAUCACCUCUCUACUCUGCUCCCUUACUUAGGAUCCAAUUCAAAAUUCUCACCAUAACCUACAUGGUCAGGCCCCUGCUUAUCUUGCCAACAUAAUUCACUUACACACCCCUUCCCGGUCUCUUGGGUCUAUCAACCAAAAUCUGCUAUCCACGCCACACACUCGUCUGAAGACGUGGGGAUAGAGCCUUUGCCAUGAUGGCACCCAGACUCUGGAAUGCUCUGCCAACCAGCAUUAGGUUUGCUGGGAAUGUGGACUGUUUUAAGGACAAGUGAAGACUCACUUGUUUAGGCUAGCUUUUGGGUAACCUCUGUCUUCUAUUUAUUAAUAAUUUUAUCUGCUGUAUUUUUACUUUACUUUAUUCUUAGCCAAUUUUUUACUAUGCUUUAUUGUCUAUGCACAUUGUAAAGCACUUUGUGACCCUGUCUGUGAAAAGUGCUGUAUAAAUAAAUUUUACUUACUUACUUA
Alosa sapidissima (American shad) is the source of this 881-nucleotide long non-coding RNA. RefSeq lists it as uncharacterized. The record is from RefSeq and is a predicted model, not a curated record. The transcript has 2 exons. NCBI's taxonomy places the organism in Eukaryota, Metazoa, Chordata, Actinopteri, Clupeiformes, Clupeidae.